UGGGGAAUCUUGCACAAUGGGGGCAACCCUGAUGCAGCGACGCCGCGUGAGCGAUGAAGGUUUUCGAAUCGUAAAGCUCUGUCCUAUGGGAAGAUAAUGACGGUACCAUAGGAGGAAGCCCCGGCUAACUACGUGCCAGCAGCCGCGGUAAUACGUAGGGGGCGAGCGUUGUCCGGAAUUACUGGGCGUAAAGGGUUCGCAGGCGGCAUGGCAAGUCCGAUGUAAAAGGCGAAGGCUCAACCUUCGUAAGCAUCGGAAACUGUCAAGCUUGAGUGAAGGAGAGGCAAGUGGAAUUCCUAGUGUAGCGGUGGAAUGCGUAGAUAUUAGGAGGAAUACCGGUGGCGAAGGCGACUUGCUGGACUUCGACUGACGCUGAGGAACGAAAGCGUGGGUAGCAAACAGG
This 403-nucleotide ribosomal RNA is filed under the name Verrucomicrobiota bacterium. Its description in RNAcentral is "Verrucomicrobia bacterium partial 16S ribosomal RNA". It matches the Rfam family "Bacterial small subunit ribosomal RNA", at positions 355 to 776 of the family's 1533-position model. The record is from RNAcentral. Lineage: Bacteria; Pseudomonadati; Verrucomicrobiota.